This 79-nucleotide transfer RNA is filed under the name Setaria italica (foxtail millet). It matches the Rfam family "tRNA". Rfam says of the family: Transfer RNA (tRNA) molecules are approximately 80 nucleotides in length. Their secondary structure includes four short double-helical elements and three loops (D, anti-codon, and T loops). Further hydrogen bonds mediate the characteristic L-shaped molecular structure. tRNAs have two regions of fundamental functional importance: the anti-codon, which is responsible for specific mRNA codon recognition, and the 3' end, to which the tRNAs corresponding amino acid is attached (by aminoacyl-tRNA synthetases). tRNAs cope with the degeneracy of the genetic code in two manners: having more than one tRNA (with a specific anti-codon) for a particular amino acid; and 'wobble' base-pairing, i.e. permitting non-standard base-pairing at the 3rd anti-codon position. The record is from Rfam by way of RNAcentral. Lineage: Eukaryota; Viridiplantae; Streptophyta; Magnoliopsida; Poales; Poaceae.
GCGGAUGUAGCCAAGUGGAUCAAGGCAGUGGAUUGUAUUGUAAAUCCGCCACACGUGGGUUCAAUUCCCAUCGUUUGCC